RNAcentral lists this non-coding RNA (94 nucleotides) under uncultured Eubacterium sp. RNAcentral's name for it is "TPP riboswitch (THI element)". It matches the Rfam family "TPP riboswitch aptamer (THI element)", at positions 9 to 90 of the family's 105-position model. From Rfam's summary of the family: Vitamin B(1) in its active form thiamin pyrophosphate (TPP) is an essential coenzyme that is synthesised by coupling of pyrimidine and thiazole moieties in bacteria. Lineage: Bacteria; Bacillati; Bacillota; Clostridia; Eubacteriales; Eubacteriaceae. The record is from RNAcentral.
AAACAUGGGGAGCUUGCAGAGAGCAGGCUGAGAGUAAGCUGGAUCGUUUUAACCCAUAAACCUGAUUUGGAUAAUGCCAACGUAGGGAUGAUAG